AGCUCCAAUAGCGUAUAUUAACGUUGCUGCAGUUAAAAAGCUCGUAGUUGCAUUUCCGAGGCAAGGGAUUAGUCCGACCUUUGGUGGGUAUUUAAUCCUCUUGCCUCGUCCUUGAGUGGUGCUUCUUGGUAUUAAGUUAUCGAGGAGAUAGCCGCUCAUCGUUUACUGUGAGAAAAUUAGAGUGUUCAAAGCAGGCUUAUGCCGUUGAAUAUAUUAGCAUGGAAUAAUAAGAUAGGACCUCGGUACUAUUUUGUUGGUUUGAGAACCAAGGUAAUGAUGAAUAGGGACAGUUGGGGGUAUUCGUAUUCAGUUGUCAGAGGUGAAAUUCUUAGAUUUACGGAAGACGAACUACUGCGAAAGCAUUUACCAAGGAUGUUUGCA
Molecule: ribosomal RNA, 381 nt
Filed under: uncultured marine Chaetocerotaceae
Lineage: Eukaryota; Bacillariophyta; Thalassiosirophyceae; Chaetocerotales; Chaetocerotaceae
Description: SSU rRNA
Rfam family: Eukaryotic small subunit ribosomal RNA
Source: RNAcentral